Rhincodon typus (whale shark) is the source of this 277-nucleotide long non-coding RNA. RefSeq lists it as uncharacterized. The transcript has 3 exons. The record is from RefSeq and is a predicted model, not a curated record. Lineage: Eukaryota; Metazoa; Chordata; Chondrichthyes; Orectolobiformes; Rhincodontidae.
UCCUCGUGUAAAGUCCACUAAUGAAUGAAACAGAAAUGCCUUAAAUGCUGAGCGACGGAUGUUAUUAAGCUGUAAAGAGUGUAGAAAAGAUUUACAACGAUGUUAUCGUGACUGGAGGGCUUAAGGAAAGUCGGAGGUGAAAUUAAUUGAAUUCCUGAAGUAUUUACCCUCCCAGAGAGAGCGAGGUUGACUUUACAUUUGGACUCCACGCGAUGCAUGUGAAGGUGUUUUACCUGCUCAUUUUUUUAAGAACCACUUCAUAUUUGGAUGCCCAAGG